Long non-coding RNA from Mirounga angustirostris (Northern elephant seal), 5729 nucleotides. RefSeq lists it as uncharacterized. NCBI's taxonomy places the organism in Eukaryota, Metazoa, Chordata, Mammalia, Carnivora, Phocidae. The record is from RefSeq and is a predicted model, not a curated record. The transcript has 7 exons.
GACAGCAAGAAAGGGAACACAAGCAGGGGGAGUGGAGAGGGAGAAGCAGGCUUCCCGCGGAGCAGGGAGCCUGAUGUGGGGCUCGAUCCCCGGACCCUGGGAUCAUGACCUGAGCUGAUGGCAGACGCUUAAGGCCUGAGCCACCCAGGCGCUCCUCUGUAUAACUUUUCUUUAGAGUUUUAUUUAUUUGAGAGAGAGAGAAUUAGAGACAGAGAGCAAGCAUGAGUGGGGGGCAGAGGGAGAAGGAGAAGCAGGCUCCCUGCUGAGCAGGGUGCCCAAUGUGGAACUCAAUCCCAGGACUGUGGUAUCAUGAUCUGAGCCGAAGGCAGAUGCUUAACUGACUGAGCCACCCAGGUGUCCCUGGUGUAUAACUUUUAAACAAGUGGUUAAAAAUUCACCUUGGAAGUCAUUCUUUUUUGGUUUAUAACUAACUCAUUCUUUCUUAUCAGCUGAUAUUCCGUUUCUUUAUUUAACCAGUCCCUUGGUAAUGGACAUUUAGAUUGUUUCUAAACAAUGCUACAAUUAAUAUCCUUGGAUAUAAGUUCCUUGCACAAGUGAAAGCCACAUUAUAUUCCUAGAUGUGAAAUUAUUAUAUCAAAGGGUAUGUGCAUUUUUUUAAAAAUUUUAUUUAUUUAUUUGACAGAGAGAGAGAGAGAGAGAGAGAGAGCAAGCACAAGCAGGGGGAGUGGGAGAGAGAGAAGCAGGCUCUCCUCUGAGCAGGGAGCCCGAUGCGGGGCUGGAUCCCGGGACCCUGGGAUCAUGACCUGAGCCAAAGGCAGACGCUUAACGACUGAGCCACCCAGGUGUCCCGGAGAGAGCGAGAGAGCACAAGCAGGGUGAGCAGCAGAGGGAGAGGGAAAAACAGGCUCCUCGCUGAGCAGGGAGCCCAAUGCGGGGCUCGAUCCUUGGAUCAUGACCUGAGCCGAAGGCAGAUGCUUAACCGACUGAGCCACCCAGAGGGGAAAAGAGCACUUACCUCAGGAUUAAGAGGAUUACCUGAAAUAAUGCAUAUGAGAGUACAGAGCCUGCUGCGCAGAAAACCACGUGGUGAUGUUGACAUUGGAAGCCGUGCCUCGUGGAGCAAAAAGAAGUCUGGUCCACUAACCAACAGGCAGCGACCGCCUCUCCAUUUUUAUGUGAGAGAGGGAAAUACAUUUCUAUCUCAUUUAAACUACUCUUGUUUGGGGUUUCCCGUCCCUUGUCACUGAGCUUAAUCCAAGCAGAUACAUUGGUGCAAGCCACAACCAAGGCCCAGCCCUGCGACUCUUAAGGGAAGGGGAGUGACAACGUGUCAGACUUUUCGCUGGAUCUACUCAUGUUACCCCAAGAAGGUGUUCUCCUCAUUGUGAGCUCAUCGAUGCAGACACUUUCGGAGUGUCCCAUGGGGACUGAAAGAAGGACGUGCCUUUGAGAUGCCAUGCAAUGGCCAGGAAAGUUUCCCCAGAUGGAAAGUGUGGUAAGACAGCAGACAUGGGCAUGCCUGUCAGGAAAGAAGAAGUUUAUACUCACAGAUCCCUAGAAACAGGAGGCACACCAUGCCAUGGAGGGCCACAUGGGGAAGGACCAAGGAUGGUCAGGAGGUGGAAGAGCGGGAGAGGGCAGCACAUGGCCCAGAAACUUUAUUGGAGCUCUCUUGGGAAGGAUCCACCAAGGAAGGAGAGCUUCAUCAAAUUCCCAUGGCAUGGAGGUAACAUUACAGGACCACAAGAGUUUGGACAAUGGGCAUCUUGGUGACAACAGCGGAGACCGAAGACCUGAAGCUUCUUUAAAUAUUUAGCUCUGAUAAGCUUAUGUGUGAGCACCCUAAUUUUGUCCUCUGGAGGGAAGCUGGUGAGUGUGCUCCUUCAGGCCUGCCGGUCGCCAUGGAGACAGAGACCAGGUGCUGCUGGGGGAAGGUCUGUCGAGUAGCGAUAGUGCCAGCCAGGGUAUGGAGAGGAAACCAUGUUGGGGGGAAGCUCGCAGGAAACCAUUCUGAAGCUGUCCCGUUGUCUGAGUUCCUGAAAUGCUCCUCCAGGCCUGCCUGUAGUGAGGAAGGGGCUUCACCCAUGCAGUGACGUAGCAGCAGGUGGAUUUGGUUGGGGUCAUCUGUCUCAUGAGCUGGAGAGCAACAUGGAGACCAUCUGGGCUGGGUCGGGGCGGAAGCUCGCAUGAGAAGAGACGAAGCUUCUCUUCAGUUUGCCUCUACCACAGCAAUGAAUGGGGACUUCCUUGAAGGAACCUCAUGGCAAGGGGACAGCAGCGUGUGAGUGUUGGAGCAGGAGAGGAAGAACUGGUGAUUCCCGGUGGAGAUGAAGAUUGGCAGGUGUGUAAGUAGCACAUGAGGGCCUGUUUGGGGGCUUCCAAAGACAAGGAGGGGUGGGGUCUGGGAAGACAGAAGCUGAAGCUCUGCUGUCAAGUAGGUGACAACUCAGCGUUAUGAUUUGGGCAUUAACGUAGGUGUACCAUUUUUUAGACUUACAGAUGGAGCUCAUUUGGGGGUCUUCAUCCGUGGUUAUUUUAAAUCCUAGUGCAUCUGUAGCACAUCUGUCCAAAUUAAUUACCUAAGCAUUGGUUGGGAUGUUGAGACUGAUUAUGGCACACAUACCCCAGAAAGGGUAUGAAAAGGUUUACUACUCACCGGGGAGAGUAGGGUGUCUCCCACGCAGGUCUCAAAAUAGUUUGAGAGAGCAGGGAAAAGAGACUGGCUUGAGGGUAUUUUUAUUAUGUUUGGGGUAAGUCCAGGUAAGGAGUCCUGGUGUGUGUUUGAACUUCCUGCUGGUGCCGAAGGGGGGAGCACCACACUUUCUUAUCAGCUUGCCAAGACGUGGGAUGCAAGGGGAAGAGGAAGGUGUAAGACUUAAAAGUUAUCAGAAUAUAUUAGAAAAAAAAAAAAAAGAAUCAGUUCUUAUUAUAGUAUGUGACCUUGUUGACCUAAUUAUCUUGACGCAAACUUGUUGAAGCUGAUGUUUUGACAUAACAUACUUUCACACAGACAAAAUAACCAACCAUUAAAUUUGAGCUUUCUUUUUAAAAAAGGAGUGAGUCCUAUACAUGAAAUACGCUACCCUCUAACCCAUCCUAUCCCUGAGCCUUGCUCCAUCCUACAUUCUUUUCCUUUCGAUCUCCUCCAGGAUGCUGUUCUUGCUUCUGCCUUCAGUAAUAAUGAUAGUGAUGCCACCAUGAUCUGUGGUAGGUUAUCAUUUGUGUCUCCAGGUCAAGAGGGCAGGGUGGCUUGGUGGCAUCCAGGAAGCUGCAUACAGCAUAUAUUCAAUGAGAAAAAAAUGCCUCACUGCAGGAAUUAAUGCAACAGUCACGUCUAGUUGGGAUUGCAGAACAUUUGCUCACAGAAGCCAUUUAUUCCCCUUUGAGGGAUUCAGCCAAAUAAAAUCAUUCAUUUUUGACUCCAGCAUGCUUCACGGGGCUGUUUUAAAGCCAGGCUAUGUUGGCCUAGGGAAAAUUCUACUUGUGGUGAAUGAAGACCUUCAUGGAAGUCCUAUUGCUCAAGUUCUUAUUGUUGCAGUUCAUGCUUAUGUAAACGCUGAGCAGGGAGAUUCUUGAAACUCCAUCUGUAUCUUCCAGUGAUGCUUAGCGGAACACUUGAGAGGCAGUGAAAGAAAACUGCCAAACACUGAAGUAAUGAAAACAGACUCUCAUGAAGGAGAGGCUGGGACCACUGCAGGUCCAGCAAAACCAGAGACUCAACUUCAGCGGUGUUUCUGGGAUGCGAUGCGAUACAAGGGGAGGACAUCCCACACAGGGCGGCACGGUGUGGCAUGUGGUCCUCCCUGCGGAUCUAGUCCUAGAGAAUUACCAAAGCGCUUCACUAGGAGCCAGCAGUCUCCCAUUCCCAAGAGGGGAUCCUAGGAAGAAACUUUAUAGGGAGUAUAAAGAGUUUACAGGAGGGAGAUUAUAUGAAAUAGUCUCGGCUGGGCAGGGCUAAGCCGCAAAAUGUGUGUGGGGGGGUCACAUUAGACACCGCGUCUCCCUGUAUUCGUCCAUUCUGCAUCUGCACCUGUGUGAACACUAGCCAGAUCAAGAAAUAGACGAUUAUGUCAUGUCCUUUCUGGUCACUGCUAUGGCUAAUAAUGCUGCAGAUGACUUUUGACUGAUUUUUAUAUGCUCAUUUGUAGUUGGCUUCUUUCAUGGAACAUUAUGCUGUACGAGUCAUCCACAUCGUUGUGCAUGGCAAUAGGUGCAUUCGCUGUCAGUAUCGUAUGAAUACACUGCAAUUUACCUUUCCUGAUGUUGAUGGUCAUUUGGUUGUUGACAGUUUGGGGGUAUUAUGAAUAGUGUUGCUCUGAGCAUUCCUAUUCAUAUUUAGUGAACAUAGAUGUGCAUUUGUGUUGAGCAUAUAGCCAGGAGUGCAUUUACUAAGCCAUAUGGUAUGUAUAUGUUCAGUUUUACUACCUUAUGCCGAAGGAUUUUCCAAAAUGGAUCAUGAGAAUUGCAGUUGCUCUUCAUCCUCAGCAAAAUUUAGUAUUUUUAGUCUUAUUCUGGUUGGUAGUUUUGGUGUAUAUUCCUCUGAAAACUUAUGAGGCUGAACACUUUGUUAUAUGUGUAUAUGUUAGUUGUGUAUUUGAAUAUCAUCUUCUGGGAAGUUCAAGACUUUGUCUAUUUUCCUACUGGGCUGUCUGGUUUUUAAAAAAUUGAUUUUAAGGGGUUGUUUAUAUAUUCUGGAUAUAAGUUCUUUGCUAGAUUUCACAUAUUCAACUAUCUUCUAUUCUGGUUAAUUUUUCCAACUCUUUUAGUGGUGUCCUUUGAUGAACAGAACUUCUUUUUUUUGUUUUUUGGGGUUUUUUUUUUUAGGAAAAAGAUCUUUCCCUAAAACAGUCUUUUUUUUUUUUUUAAAGAUUUUAUUUAUUUUUAUUUGAGAGAGAGAGAAUGAGAGAGAGGGAGUACAUGAGAGGAGGGAGGGUCAGAGGGAGAAGCAGACUCCCCACUGAGCAGGGAGCCCGAUGCGGGACUCGAUCCAGCGACUCCAGGAUCAUGACCUGAGCCGAAGGCAGUCGCUUAACCGACUGAGUCACCCAGGCGCCCCUCCCUAAAACAGUCUUAUUUCUCGAAUCCAGACUUCUUUUAAUGAUGUGAAAUUUAUCUCAAAUCGCAAUAAAACUUGUAACUAGAGAUUGGAUUUUUGUUUUCCUCUUUUUCUCUCAUCUUCAUUCUGCUUUUUUAAAAUUAUUUUUAUUUAUUUAAAUAAAUAAAUGAACAGAACUUCUUAAUUUUAAAUUUGUCCAAUUUGUCAAUUGGUCUUGAUAUUAGUGCUUUUUUAUGUCUUGUUUUAGGUCCAACAAAUAGUAUCCUAAAUGUUCAUCUAGCUUAAUCAUCAUCAAGCUUAAUAGUUUUACCUUUGACAUUUAGGUCUAUGAUGCAUCUUGAAAUAAUAUUUCUAUAUGGUGUGAUGUUAAUUUGAUUAUGCAUUUUAUGUAUAUUUUACAUACAUACAAUGUAAAUAUAUAUAUUUUUUCAUAAAUGUGCCCUUAACAUUCAUAGGUCCCAGGCCAAGUGUAUAAUGGAGAUAUACAUAGUGUAUGUCUAAAUACUUACAAGUUAUAAGUCAAGCUGACAAACUGUUAAAUGAAAUACAAUUCUUCUACUUUGACAGAUCUACCUUUAUAGUGUCAAAAUUGAAAAAUAUGUUCAUAGUCAUGUUUUUAUGUGAUUGACGUUUGAUAAAAUAUCCAAGAUGACUAAAUUUAAUUAUUAUUGGGCAUGUCUGGUGUUCUGUUGAUGGAAUGGUGAUGUUUGUA